Molecule: ribosomal RNA, 246 nt
Filed under: uncultured bacterium
Lineage: Bacteria
Description: partial 16S ribosomal RNA
Rfam family: Bacterial small subunit ribosomal RNA
Source: RNAcentral
GUAGGGGGCAAGCGUUAUCCGGAUUUACUGGGUGUAAAGGGAGCGUAGGCGGCUUAGUAAGUCAGAAGUGAAAGCCCGCAGCUCAACUGCGGGACUGCUUUUGAAACUGCCAGGCUAGAGUGUCGGAGAGGUAAGUGGAAUUCCUAGUGUAGCGGUGAAAUGCGUAGAUAUUAGGAGGAACACCAGUGGCGAAGGCGGCUUACUGGACAGUAACUGACGUUGAGGCUCGAAAGCGUGGGGAGCAAA